This 465-nucleotide ribosomal RNA is filed under the name uncultured bacterium. Its description in RNAcentral is "partial 16S ribosomal RNA". It matches the Rfam family "Bacterial small subunit ribosomal RNA", at positions 339 to 795 of the family's 1533-position model. The record is from RNAcentral.
CUACGGGCCGCUGCAGUGAGGAAUUUUGCGCAAUGGGGGAAACCCUGACGCAGCAACGCCGCGUGAGUGAAGAAGGCCCUUGGGUCGUAAAGCUCUGUCAAUGGGGAAGAAGUUAUUAUGUAUUAAUAGUGCAUUUUAUUGACGGUACCCAUGAAGGAAGCACCGGCUAACUCCGUGCCAGCAGCCGCGGUAAUACGGGGGGUGCAAGCGUUAUUCGGAAUUAUUGGGCGUAAAGGGCACGCAGGCGGUCCUGUCAGUCAGAUGUGAAAGCCCGGGGCUCAACCCCGGACGUGCAUUUGAAACAGCAGGACUUGAGUACGGGAGAGGAAAGGGGAAUUCCUGGUGUAGAGGUGAAAUUCGUAGAUAUCAGGAGGAACACCGGUGGCGAAGGCGCCUUUCUGGACCGAUACUGACGCUGAGGUGCGAAGGCGUGGGUAGCGAACGGGAUUAGAUACCCGGGUAGUC